AGGACGAACGCUGGCGGCGUGCCUAACACAUGCAAGUCGAACGAGGUCCAUGUAGUGGCAACACUGCGGAAGACCUAGUGGCGAACGGGUGAGUAACACGUGAGGAACUUGCCCCGGAGACCGGGAUAAGCCCCCGAAAGGGGGUCUAAUACCGGAUGUCCUCACCGAGUCGCAUGGCUUGGUGAGGAAAUGGAUUCCGCUCCGGGAGAGCCUCGCGGCCUAUCAGCUAGUUGGUGGGGUAACGGCCCACCAAGGCGACGACGGGUA
This 267-nucleotide ribosomal RNA is filed under the name uncultured bacterium. RNAcentral describes it as "partial small subunit ribosomal RNA". It matches the Rfam family "Bacterial small subunit ribosomal RNA", at positions 26 to 285 of the family's 1533-position model. The record is from RNAcentral.